Rhinopithecus roxellana (golden snub-nosed monkey) is the source of this 2031-nucleotide long non-coding RNA. RefSeq lists it as uncharacterized. NCBI's taxonomy places the organism in Eukaryota, Metazoa, Chordata, Mammalia, Primates, Cercopithecidae. The record is from RefSeq and is a predicted model, not a curated record. The transcript is spliced from 5 exons.
AGUCCAGGAGGUUGAGGCUGCAGUGAGCCCUGAUUGCACCACUGCACUCCAGCCUGGGUAAGGGUGGGACCUGGUCUCAAAAAUAUUUAUUUUUUUUCAUAUGCUUUGAUGAUACUAGUGACUUCAGGACAUGUGUUUGGCCUGUCUCUGCCAUGGUUCUGCUGGAUUUGUGGAGGUUCCUGUGCAGAUGUGCUACAUGGUAAAAUGUGUGUUGCGGGGGUCUGGUGUGCAGAUUCUUUGGUCGCCCAGGUAAUAAGCGCGGUGCAGAGAAUGAGGAUCAGAAACGUUGAAGAACUUGCCCAGAGAUCCAACCAGUGAGUAGCCAGCUUCAGACUGAUAUGACCGUCAUUGUCCCUGACCGUGACCCGUCCGUCACAUGGCCAGCUCCAGAUGGAUUGGAAGGUCUGCAGGAAUGAGCUUUGGCCUAGUGCCAAGAUCAUCCAACCAGCCCUUCUCCUGCCUCCUCUUCUCCCAUUUCCUAUUUGGAAGGACAUAGACCCCAGGUGUCCCACUGCAGAGUCCCCGUGUAUGAAGGUCAACCCAGUGUGAGCUCCAGUUGAAUCCAGGCCGGGACUGGCAGACCUCUGGCAGCCCAGAAGAAAGCAGAUGUCACUGCGUGAAGUCUGAUGGGCAGCGUCUGGCCCUCAGGAGCCUGGGGCAGAGCAGGAACUGAAACUCCUGAGAGCACCAGCACAGGGGUUCGUCACAGCUGGAGAAGGUCCCACUCCGCUCUCUGUGUGAUAAUGCAAAUAUUGCUCAUGUACUACUGAGGACUGAAAUAGGGCUUAUUUCUGAUUCACUUAGAUGUCAAAAGCCACUUGUUUAGGGGCUACCCUAACUGGAUAGUGUAGCUCUAAACCACUCUAGAAUGAAAACUUCGCCCAGGAAAGGCCCCAGGGAACUACUUUUUGCAUAGGAGAGGGUAAACAGACCCAAGAACCUGAAAGUAACUCAAACUCCAGUAGACUCCAGUUGGAAAUCCAAGUGGUAAUGACUGCCCCACAAGGCGGUUCAGUGAUAUCUUUCUCCACAGCUUCCUCCUGGAAAACUCCUACUCACUCGGCAAGAUUCAACUCAAGAGCAUGACACGUCCUGAUCCUAGCCUGGGCAGUCAGUCUCAGUUUCUCCUGCUGCGCACCUGCUGCCACCUCCAUGUGAGCACUCAAGUGGUCAAUGCAGGGCCUCACCUGUACUGACCUUCAUCUGUGUACUCAGCUAGUUUUCGCUUCUAUCCAAGAAUUCACAGAACUUUCUGCCAUGACUGUCCUGCCCUCCCUGACUUCCUUGUGAACUCCUCGAGGUCAACUACUCCGUCUUAUUUAUUUUUACACACUCAGCACCUGCCACUUAGAAGAUGGCCAGAAAAGGGUUUAAUGAAUGCUUGUGUCUUAUAAUCAAGUCAGAAACUUCCUUCUCUGGGACACUUCGGUGCAGCCACUUCCUCUAGUCUAAGAAUUGUGAUUACAGGGACAAGAGAUGCAUUUCGUCUUUCUCUGAAGUGCCACCAGGUCUAAAUAUUAUUUGGGUACAUUUGUACAAUGUCCUGAGUCUGGAAAAUGUGUGUUUAAAAAUCAAAUGAAAGACAGCCAAAUAAAGUUUGUAUGACUUCCUUUCAUCCUCAACAGCAACCCUACAUAGACAUACUGUUAUUAUCCUCAAAUAAUGGAUGAGAAAACUUGCAUACCCUGCCUAAGGUCAUUCGGAUAGAUCAGGAGAAGCACUGGGAUUAGACCCAGGUUGGCUGACCUCAGGGCACAUGCUGUCACCACACUCUCAGACAGAACACCUGCCUUGCACUGGCGUACCACACUGUUCAGUGUGCUUCCACUGCAUUUUAGAGUUGUUUCCUCUAAAAAGCAGAGCUGAUGUUAUCAUCAUCUCUAUUUUAUAGAUGAGGAAAUUAACACAGAAAAGGCAAGUAACCCAAGCUUGCAGGAUUAGCAAAUGACACUUGCAGGGUUUUUGUCUCCUAUUCUAGGGUUUUGCUUUUUAACCCACCAGGCUCAUGGAAUGUUCAUGGAAUGAACUGAA